RNAcentral lists this ribosomal RNA (510 nucleotides) under uncultured bacterium. Its description in RNAcentral is "partial 16S ribosomal RNA". It matches the Rfam family "Bacterial small subunit ribosomal RNA", at positions 28 to 507 of the family's 1533-position model. The record is from RNAcentral.
GACGAACGCUGGCGGCGUGCUUAACACAUGCAAGUCGAACGAAGAGCGAUGGAAGCUUGCUUCUAUCAAUCUUAGUGGCGAACGGGUGAGUAACGCGUAAUCAACCUGCCCUUCAGAGGGGGUCAACAGUUGGAAACGACUGCUAAUACCGCAUACGAUCUAACCUCGGCAUCGAGGAUAGAUGAAAGGUGGCCUCUACAUGUAAGCUAUCACUGAAGGAGGGGAUUGCGUCUGAUUAGCUAGUUGGAGGGGUAACGGCCCACCAAGGCGAUGAUCAGUAGCCGGUCUGAGAGGAUGAACGGCCACAUUGGGACUGAGACACGGCCCAGACUCCUACGGGAGGCAGCAGUGGGGAAUCUUCCGCAAUGGACGAAAGUCUGACGGAGCAACGCCGCGUGAGUGAUGACGGCCUUCGGGUUGUAAAGCUCUGUUAAUCGGGACGAAAGGCCUUCUUGCGAAUAGUUAGAAGGAUUGACGGUACCGGAAUAGAAAGCCACGGCUAACUACGUG